AAAAUAUGAAGUUCUAUAUAAUUACCGCGAACCACGUAACGAGGUAUUUUAAUAUCGCGCAUAAAAAACGAUUUUUUGCCAUAGUGUACGAGUCCCCUAACAAUUCGGGUGACUCCUUUAAAGGAAUACGAACGAAAAAUCUACCAAACUCGUCACGUUUAGUAGUCUCUGUAAAUAACUUCUCACAAUAACGAUCAUCAUUCGACAUGAUAUUUGGUUUAAACGACUUAUUAAUAUGAAGAGGGCCAGAGAUGAUCCAUCCUAAUUUGGAAUCGUACAAAUAUGGACCACUGCUAAUUUUAAUCUUAUUAUUAUUUAAAAGAUCCCAAAAUAUGUCCGCUCCUAACAAUAUAUCAAUGUCCGACGAAACGCUAAACGUAGGGUCCGCGAGCGAAACAUGUUUAGGAAUCUGUAUACAUUUACAGUGAACGUCUAACGAAGGUAACUUCGAUGUUAUACGAGGAAGAACCCAACAUUGAAUAUUAGUAUUAAAAUCAUUAACUUU
Molecule: long non-coding RNA, 505 nt
Organism: Aricia agestis (brown argus)
Lineage: Eukaryota; Metazoa; Arthropoda; Insecta; Lepidoptera; Lycaenidae
Exons: 3
Source: RefSeq, a predicted model, not a curated record